GCCACACACAGAUGUAACGUUAUCUUACCUGAUGUCUUUUAUCCAGCGACUCCUGGUCUUUUUUUAUCAGCCGGGGAGCGAAAGAACAAGCGAGACCCGUUGCUGUUGUGAGUACAACCCAGUAGGAAACACACAGGCAUCGUAGCUUCAGCGAG
Molecule: long non-coding RNA, 155 nt
Organism: Sebastes umbrosus (honeycomb rockfish)
Lineage: Eukaryota; Metazoa; Chordata; Actinopteri; Perciformes; Sebastidae
Exons: 3
Source: RefSeq, a predicted model, not a curated record